UACGGAGGGAGCUAGCGUUGUUCGGAAAUACUGGGCGUAAAGCGCACGUAGGCGGCGCAGCAAGUCAGGGGUGAAAUCCCGGGGCUCAACCUCGGAACUGCCCUUGAAACUGCAGUGCUAGAAUCUUGGAGAGGCGAGUGGAAUUCCUGGUGUAGCGGUGAAAUGCGUAGAUAUCAGGAGGAACACCGGUGGCGAAGGCGCUCAUCUGGCCCAAUACUGACGCUGAGGCGCGAAAGCUAGGGGAGCGAACGGG
Molecule: ribosomal RNA, 253 nt
Filed under: uncultured bacterium
Lineage: Bacteria
Description: partial 16S ribosomal RNA
Rfam family: Bacterial small subunit ribosomal RNA
Source: RNAcentral